This 377-nucleotide unclassified non-coding RNA is filed under the name uncultured Acidimicrobiia bacterium. Its description in RNAcentral is "contains 16S-23S intergenic spacer region". Lineage: Bacteria; Bacillati; Actinomycetota; Acidimicrobiia. The record is from RNAcentral.
UCCGGUUUGACACCGGCAGUCUCCCAUGAGUCCCCGGCAUUACCCGCUGGCAACAUGGAACAGGGGUUGCGCUCGUUGCGCCACUUAACCCAACAUCUCACGGCACGAGCUGACGACAGCCAUGCACCACCUGUGCAGGACCCCGAAGGACACCACAUCUCUGUGGCUUUUCCCUACAUGUCAAACCCAGGUAAGGUUCUUCGCGUUGCCUCGAAUUAAGCAACAUGCUCCGCCGCUUGUGCGGGCCCCCGUCAAUUCCUUUGAGUUUUAGCCUUGCGGCCGUACUCCCCAGGCGGGGCACUUAAUGCGUUAGCUGCGGCACGGACCACGUGGAAUGUGGCCCACACCUAGUGCCCAACGUUUACGGCGUGGACUAC